RNAcentral lists this ribosomal RNA (50 nucleotides) under Mortierella sp. GD20E. RNAcentral's name for it is "partial 17S ribosomal RNA". It matches the Rfam family "Eukaryotic small subunit ribosomal RNA", at positions 1782 to 1831 of the family's 1831-position model. Lineage: Eukaryota; Fungi; Mortierellomycota; Mortierellomycetes; Mortierellales; Mortierellaceae. RNAcentral also lists the same sequence under 2 other names. The record is from RNAcentral.
GGUGAAGUCGUANCAAGGUUUCCGUAGGUGAACCUGCGGAAGGAUCAUUC